GGAGAGGUGCCAGAGUGGUCGAAUGGGGCACACUGCUAAUGUGUUGACCGGGUUAUACCGGUCCGCGGGUUCGAAUCCCGCCCUCUCCGCCA
Molecule: transfer RNA, 92 nt
Filed under: Candidatus Peregrinibacteria bacterium CG22_combo_CG10-13_8_21_14_all_49_11
Lineage: Bacteria; Candidatus Peregrinibacteriota
Description: tRNA-Ser
Rfam family: tRNA
About the family: Transfer RNA (tRNA) molecules are approximately 80 nucleotides in length. Their secondary structure includes four short double-helical elements and three loops (D, anti-codon, and T loops). Further hydrogen bonds mediate the characteristic L-shaped molecular structure. tRNAs have two regions of fundamental functional importance: the anti-codon, which is responsible for specific mRNA codon recognition, and the 3' end, to which the tRNAs corresponding amino acid is attached (by aminoacyl-tRNA synthetases). tRNAs cope with the degeneracy of the genetic code in two manners: having more than one tRNA (with a specific anti-codon) for a particular amino acid; and 'wobble' base-pairing, i.e. permitting non-standard base-pairing at the 3rd anti-codon position.
Source: RNAcentral